RNAcentral lists this ribosomal RNA (959 nucleotides) under uncultured bacterium. RNAcentral describes it as "bacterial SSU rRNA". It matches the Rfam family "Bacterial small subunit ribosomal RNA", at positions 56 to 1004 of the family's 1533-position model. The record is from RNAcentral.
UGCAAGUCGGACGGCAGCACAGAGAAGCUUGCUUCUUGGGUGGCGAGUGGCGAACGGGUGAGUAAUAUAUCGGAACGUACCGAGUAAUGGGGGAUAACUAAUCGAAAGAUUAGCUAAUACCGCAUAUUCUCUGAGGAGGAAAGCAGGGGACCUUCGGGCCUUGCGUUAUUCGAGCGGCCGAUAUCUGAUUAGCUAGUUGGUGGGGUAAAGGCCUACCAAGGCGACGAUCAGUAGCGGGUCUGAGAGGAUGAUCCGCCACACUGGGACUGAGACACGGCCCAGACUCCUACGGGAGGCAGCAGUGGGGAAUUUUGGACAAUGGGCGCAAGCCUGAUCCAGCCAUGCCGCGUGUCUGAAGAAGGCCUUCGGGUUGUAAAGGACUUUUGUCAGGGAAGAAAAGGCUGUUGCUAAUACCGACAGCUGAUGACGGUACCUGAAGAAUAAGCACCGGCUAACUACGUGCCAGCAGCCGCGGUAAUACGUAGGGUGCGAGCGUUAAUCGGAAUUACUGGGCGUAAAGCGAGCGCAGACGGUUACUUAAGCAGGAUGUGAAAUCCCCGGGAUCAACCUGGGAACUGCGUUCUGAACUGGGUGACUAGAGUGUGUCAGAGGGAGGUAGAAUUCCACGUGUAGCAGUGAAAUGCGUAGAGAUGUGGAGGAAUACCGAUGGCGAAGGCAGCCUCCUGGGAUAACACUGACGUUCAUGCUCGAAAGCGUGGGUAGCAAACAGGAUUAGAUACCCUGGUAGUCCACGCCCUAAACGAUGUCAAUUAGCUGUUGGGCAACUUGAUUGCUUAGUAGCGUAGCUAACGCGUGAAAUUGACCGCCUGGGGAGUACGGUCGCAAGAUUAAAACUCAAAGGAAUUGACGGGGACCCGCACAAGCGGUGGAUGAUGUGGAUUAAUUCGAUGCAACGCGAAGAACCUUACCUGGUCUUGACAUGUACGGAAUCCUCCAGA